UAUAUAUUUUUUAAUGCGCAUAAUGCGUACAUUGCAUAGUUGCGAUUUCUGCAACUGCUUAAUACCACUGAUUUACGAAACAAUGAAGAUAAUAGUUAUACAUUCGAGAAGAAAAUAAUGCCGUUAUUAUUAUAAUGUAUGUAUAAUACCGGUAUUUAUAAUGCCACUCACAUGACGUCAAUCACAUGACGUCACAGUUAUAAACGUGUCACGUGAUACUGAAUUUACGUUGUUACUGUUAGCCACGAGGUUAAUGUUUUGCACGGCAACGGAACAGAGCGGACUUGUACUUAAAUGGAUCUUGGACGUUUUGAGUUAAGCUAUUAUUAUGUACACGAGUUUAGAAAAUAUUGAACUGAAAUAUCCAUUAUUCAGUGACAGAAGAUGUAGAAGAUCGUAGACGUCGGGAUACAAAAGUUAUUGAAGGAAACCCGUCCACAAAUAUGUUGUCUCCUUACUUGAGGGUCAUGAGCUACCAUACAGCCACCCCCAAAAUGUAUGAGAAAAAUAUGUUUUACCAUUCAAGUGGAAAUUAAAAAUGAAUGCCAAUUGUUCAUUUUGCAUCUAAUGUUUACCCCCAUCCAAAAUAGUUUCAUUAAAAAGGGUUGUUGCAUUAAUGAGGGUAUGGCCGGGUUCAUCAGAGCAUAGUACAGGGCGGAUCUCUGAAACGUCUACAGUUUGCUUACCUGCAUGUGUAGAUGAUCUUAAAGACAGGAUUUUUUGCUUCAAGAAGUGUUGGCAGAAUUAUGGGCUUAUAUAGUUCCAGGUGUCAACGACUCGGUGGCUGAAUGAGAACUUUCUGAUGUCCAAACGAGGGGCACCAGAUGGGAUGGGCAUAUUCAACGUGAGGUCUGAUCAGUGCAGUAUAUAACUUUUUGAAUGUUGGAAUGUCAAGGUAUUCAAAGGAUCUUCUCAUUGCACCUAAUACUGAGUUUGCCUUAUUUACUUUUUCAGUUAAAUGUUGUCCAAAUGUAAGCUUAUCGUCUAUGGUGACCCCUAUAUCUUUCUCUGCAUGGCUUAUUUCCAUAGGUUUCAAGUCUGGUCUUAAUUUGUAUGUUCUUUCGCACAAUUUCUUAUUACUUAUAGUCAUUGUUUUACAUUUGUCUGGAUGGAAUCGGAGCAGCCACUUGUCAGACCAUUUACUCAUGCUAAAUAUGUCUUGCUGGAGCAUUUCUAUGUCUUUUCCGAGGCAAUUUCCCUGAAUAUUUUUGUGUCAUCUGCAUAUAAAUACAGCUGGCUAUCAUUUUCUA
This is a long non-coding RNA of Dreissena polymorpha, 1250 nucleotides long. RefSeq lists it as uncharacterized. The record is from RefSeq and is a predicted model, not a curated record. The transcript has 6 exons. NCBI's taxonomy places the organism in Eukaryota, Metazoa, Mollusca, Bivalvia, Myida, Dreissenidae.